CUGUGCACCCUGACCCCCAGGCCUCCUGAUGACGAUGGUCUCAAGAUUGAAUGUCUGGCCACAAACCCUGUCACGAACAGAACCAACUCAAGCAGUGUGACACUCGCACUCAACUACCCCCCUACAUCGCCGCCAGUGAUCACAGGAAACCCGACUCUCCCUGAGGGCCAGCCUGUGUAUGAGGGAGACACCUUCACUCUAACAUGUACAGUACGAGGCAGUAAACCUUCUAACGAUACUGUCAUAACGUUUACCUGCCCCAACAGGACCGACACACCUGACAGCAGCUUGGACUCAUCCAGUGUCACCAGCAGCUUGACCUUUGAUCCCGUUACUUCAAACAACCAUGGCAACUGCAGUUGUACUGCCGCAUGGAAAAGUUAUGAUUGGUACAGACAAAAAGCUAACUGGAUCAUCAAUGUAUAUACUCCUCCAUCUAUUCCAGUAAUUUUUCCACUCGGUG
Long non-coding RNA from Pomacea canaliculata, 463 nucleotides. RefSeq lists it as uncharacterized. Lineage: Eukaryota; Metazoa; Mollusca; Gastropoda; Architaenioglossa; Ampullariidae. The record is from RefSeq and is a predicted model, not a curated record. The transcript has 3 exons.